RNAcentral lists this ribosomal RNA (1080 nucleotides) under Macrochaeta sp. 200422. Its description in RNAcentral is "partial 28S RNA". It matches the Rfam family "Eukaryotic large subunit ribosomal RNA", at positions 87 to 846 of the family's 3401-position model. Lineage: Eukaryota; Metazoa; Annelida; Polychaeta; Terebellida; Acrocirridae. The record is from RNAcentral.
CGGCGAGCGAACAGGGACAAGCCCAGCACCGAAUCCCUCGGCACGCGUGGUCGUUGGGAAAUGUGGUGUUUGGGAGAGCCUUUGCAGCAGUUGUACGCCUUCGGGUCUCGUGCUCGGAGGACAGGGAUGCCAGAGUCUCUCUUGAUUGGGGCCACAACCCGUAGCGGGUGUCAGGCCUUUGUGGCAUCCCCGGCUGUCUGCUCUGUCUCUCCUUGGAGUCGGGUUGUUUGGGAAUGCAGCCCAAAGCGGGUGGUAAACUCCACCUAAGGCUAAAUACCGGUGCAAGUCCGAUAGCAAACAAGUACCGCGAGGGAAAGUUGAAAAGAACUUUGAAGAGAGAGUUCAACAGUACGUGAAACCGCUCAGAGUCAAGCGGAUGGGACCGCAAAAUUGUCUGCUCGUGGGAUUCAGCUCUUCCCGUUGCGAGAGUGACCGGCCGGUGUUCAGAUCGCGCGAUGCGACUGGCGCUGUCGGUUUUGCUUUCGUCGGAGGGCGCACUUGCCACGCUGCAGAGCGCCGCAACCGGUCUGCCGGUCGUCAGAAGCGUUAGGGGGAAGGUGGCCUUGUAUUGCGCGUUCGCGCGGAGUGCAGGGUGUUUACUAGACCCCGAGACGUGCUGGCCGGUCGAGUCAGACUGAGGGCCAACGCUCGCUGAAGAGCUUGGUUUCGUCGGGCGUCGUGCGCGAGGCGCAGGUUCAACUGGGAGGGACUGUCUCGGCAGUGCCUUCCGACCGCCUGUGUCUGAGCGUGCGGGGUUGCACCGGCGAGACCCGCCUUCCUAAACUCCUGUUUGGGAGGGAAGCGCGGGUUUGCGGCGACACAUCAGUCGGCACCCCAUCCGACCCGUCUUGAAACACGGACCAAGGAGUCUAGCGCGUGCGCAAGUCAAUGGGAAUACACGAAACCCAAGAGGCGCAAGGAAACUAAAGGCGGGGUCUCGAACCUUCGCUUAGGCGGGAUCUCGCGUCUUCGACGACGUGGGCGCACCGCCGGCCCUUCUCUGCCGCUCGCACGACGGCGAGGAGGAGCAAGAGCGUACGCGCUGGGACCCGAAAGAUGGUGAACUAUGCCUGAGCAGGA